AGGGUUCGAUUCUGGCUCAGGAUGAACGCAGCGACAGGCUAACACAUGCAAGUCGAGGGGCAGCAUAGAAGUAGCAAUACUUGGUGGCGACCGGCGCACGGGUGAGUAACGCGUAUGCAACCUACCUAUCAGAGGGGAAUAACCCGGCGAAAGUCGGACUAAUACCGCAUAAAACAGGGGCACCGCAUGGUGAUAUUUGUUAAAGAAAUUCGCUGAUAGAUGGGCAUGCGUUCCAUUAGGUAGUUGGUGAGGUAACGGCUCACCAAGCCGACGAUGGAUAGGGGAACUGAGAGGUUGGUCCCCCACACUGGUACUGAGACACGGACCAGACUCCUACGGGAGGCAGCAGUGAGGAAUAUUGGUCAAUGGGCGGGAGCCUGAACCAGCCAAGUCGCCGUGAAGGAAGAAGGAUCUAUGGUUCGUAAACUUCUUUUGCAGGGGAAUAAAGUGCAGGACGUGUCCUGUUUUGUAUGUACCCUGAGAAUAAGGAUCGGCUAACUCCGUGCCAGCCGCGGC
RNAcentral lists this ribosomal RNA (516 nucleotides) under uncultured bacterium. RNAcentral describes it as "bacterial SSU rRNA". It matches the Rfam family "Bacterial small subunit ribosomal RNA", at positions 8 to 518 of the family's 1533-position model. The record is from RNAcentral.